Molecule: ribosomal RNA, 100 nt
Filed under: Closterium setaceum
Lineage: Eukaryota; Viridiplantae; Streptophyta; Zygnematophyceae; Desmidiales; Closteriaceae
Description: 4.5S ribosomal RNA
Source: RNAcentral
AGAGGUCACGGCAAGACGAGCCGUUUUUUACAAUAGGUGCCAGGUAUAAGCACAGUAAUGUGUGCAGCCGAGGCAUCCUAACAGACCGAGAGGUUUGAAC